ACAGCAGCAGCCACGGUAAUACGGGGGGUGCAAGCGUUAAUCGGAAUUACUGGGCGUAAAGCGUGCGUAGGCGGUUUGUUAAGUCUGUUGUGAAAUCCCCGGGCUCAACCUGGGAACUGCAUUUGUGACUGGCAAGCUAGAGUGUGGCAGAGGGGGGUGGAAUUCCGCGUGUAGCAGUGAAAUGCGUAGAUAUGCGGAGGAACACCGAUGGCGAAGGCAGCCCCCUGGGCCAACACUGACGCUCAUGCACGAAAGCGUGGGGAGCAAACAGGAUUAGAGACCCCUGUAGUCCCUGUCUCUUAUAC
Molecule: ribosomal RNA, 305 nt
Filed under: uncultured bacterium
Lineage: Bacteria
Description: partial 16S ribosomal RNA
Rfam family: Bacterial small subunit ribosomal RNA
Source: RNAcentral